RNAcentral lists this ribosomal RNA (253 nucleotides) under uncultured bacterium. Its description in RNAcentral is "partial 16S ribosomal RNA". It matches the Rfam family "Bacterial small subunit ribosomal RNA", at positions 524 to 776 of the family's 1533-position model. The record is from RNAcentral.
UACGUAGGGUGCGAGCGUUGUCCGGAAUUAUUGGGCGUAAAGGGCUCGUAGGCGGUUUGUCGCGUCGGGAGUGAAAACUCAGGGCUUAACCCUGAGCCUGCUUCCGAUACGGGCAGACUAGAGGUAUGCAGGGGAGAACGGAAUUCCUGGUGUAGCGGUGAAAUGCGCAGAUAUCAGGAGGAACACCGGUGGCGAAGGCGGGUCUCUGGGCCGUAACUGACGCUGAGGAGCGAAAGCGUGGGGAGCGAACAGG